This 405-nucleotide small RNA is filed under the name Pongo abelii (Sumatran orangutan). Its description in RNAcentral is "processed transcript". The record is from RNAcentral. Lineage: Eukaryota; Metazoa; Chordata; Mammalia; Primates; Hominidae.
CAUCAGAAGCAUGGCCCCGCUCUGUACACAUAAACAGAAGAGGCGACAGCCUUCAGGAUGACCUCACAGGUUAGCAGAGGAGCCAGACAGAGGAAGCUCAGGCACAGAGGACGAGGAGCAAGCUGGCGCCGACAUGGCGAAGGCAAGGUCUUCCCCCAGAGGCACAUUCCUCUCCAUCUUUCCACCGCACACCUGGACCAGGCUUGCAGGCUGCCAGACGUCACUCCACCCGCCAGGGAGAGGGGAGCCAGAGCCGGUGGGAAGCGGGGAGGGGCUGCGUGGCACAGCUGGUGGGCCUCCCCCUGCACAGCCCUGCAUGUACUAGCACCUUCAUCACUCCCCUCAGGGCGUGGUCUCCGCAUCAGGAAUUCACCUGGAGGUUGAAAAGAGAAAAGAAAAAGCACU